UACGUAGGGGCCUAGCGUUGUCCGGAAUUAUUGGGCGUAAAGAGCUCGUAGGCGGUUCGGCAAGUCGGAUGUGAAAUCUCCACGCUUAACGUGGAGGGGCCAUUCGAAACUGCUGUGACUCGAGUCCGGUAGGGGAGUGUGGAAUUCCCGGUGUAGCGGUGAAAUGCGCAGAUAUCGGGAGGAACACCAGUAGCGAAGGCGGCACUCUGGGCCGGUACUGACGCUGAGGAGCGGAAAGCGUGGGGAGCGAACAGG
This 255-nucleotide ribosomal RNA is filed under the name uncultured bacterium. RNAcentral's name for it is "partial 16S ribosomal RNA". It matches the Rfam family "Bacterial small subunit ribosomal RNA", at positions 524 to 776 of the family's 1533-position model. The record is from RNAcentral.